Non-coding RNA from Pimephales promelas (fathead minnow), 1179 nucleotides. Lineage: Eukaryota; Metazoa; Chordata; Actinopteri; Cypriniformes; Leuciscidae. The record is from RefSeq and is a predicted model, not a curated record.
CGUGUUGAUGGUUAAAAAGCUCUCCACAGCAGUGAGCGUUCCUGUGGAAGACAGGCAAAGGAGUUGUCAGGCAUCUGCAGCUCUCUACAGGCACGUUUGCCCGCAGCUGCACUUCAGAGGCCAACCACUGACACUCACAUCCGACCUCUACAGCUGAGACAGAAACUGAUAUGUUUGCCCAUGUCUUGUCUUUCUUCCUGUUGAUGAGCUUGAAAAGCCAAGAGAUAGCACAUGGAAUGACUCCAAGGCUUUGAGUACAACCAUCAUGACCAAUCAUGGUGUAAGACAUUCCUGUAAAAAGAGGGGCCCACAAGUCACAUGAAGUGGCAAAAACAGUUGAAUCUGAACCUUUCUGCCACAACACCAUUUGACACAGAUCUAUGGAAGCCCAUUUCUGCCCCAGAGUAAAAAAUAAAAGGAGGUGGUGUGAUGGAAUGGGAGGGCCAUUAACAUCACGUUCAAAGGUCUUCUCUAAAAUGUGAGGCAUCCAGAAAACAGCCACAUCCCAAGGUCAGACUGAAGGACAUCUAAACCAUCUGGUUGUGGACAGAGAAUUUACCUUGGAUGUUUGUGUAAUGAAAUGGAGCUGGACUAAUGGACUAGGUCUGCCGUCGAGCUCUCGGUCAGCGUCGCAUAAAGAUCUGGUGAGUGCUUAUGGAGCUGUCUGAGACGUUCACUCUCUGCCGCACUUUCGUAAUGCAUUCUAGUUUCAUCUGUAUUUACGAGCGCUGUGUAUGAAUAUUUCACUGGUCAUUAAAUAUUACAGCGAUAUUGAUCAAGCAUCUUUUUUUCCUGACUGGCUUCUCUGUGGUAUGGAUAAAAUGUGGGUUUAACCAUUAACCAGAAAAGUAGGCUACUGUAUGUUCUGCAUCUGGAGAUAUAAUCAAGGCUGAUUAGAGGGUUGUAUAUCAUAUGAUGGCACACAUGACGUGUGUCCUGGUAAGUCCUGGUGGGCAGACAUAGCUAUGUAUAUUUAAUUGAUAUACUCUUACAUUAUGCACACAGAUGGUGUACUGGAUAUAAAAUAUGAAGAGCACAUAAGGGCUUCUUUCUUAACAUUAUUUGGAAAAGGAAUACAAGGCUGUAUGCGUCACAUGAUGCUUCAGGAAUCAUUCUGAUAUGGUGAUUUGAUGCUCAAGAAAUUGUUAAUAUUAUCAAUUUUGAAGUGGCUGUGCUUCU